This 600-nucleotide ribosomal RNA is filed under the name Bacillus sp. R13(2007). RNAcentral's name for it is "bacterial SSU rRNA". It matches the Rfam family "Bacterial small subunit ribosomal RNA", at positions 28 to 611 of the family's 1533-position model. Lineage: Bacteria; Bacillati; Bacillota; Bacilli; Caryophanales; Bacillaceae. The record is from RNAcentral.
GACGAACGCUGGCGGCGUGCCUAAUACAUGCAAGUCGAGCGGACUUGCUGGAGCUUGCUCCAGCAGGUUAGCGGCGGACGGGUGAGUAACACGUGGGCAACCUGCCUGUAAGACUGGGAUAACUCCGGGAAACCGGAGCUAAUACCGGAUAGUAUCUUGAACCGCAUGGUUCAAGCUGGAAAGACGGUUUCGGCUGUCACUUACAGAUGGGCCCGCGGCGCAUUAGCUAGUUGGUGAGGUAAUGGCUCACCAAGGCAACGAUGCGUAGCCGACCUGAGAGGGUGAUCGGCCACACUGGGACUGAGACACGGCCCAGACUCCUACGGGAGGCAGCAGUAGGGAAUCUUCCGCAAUGGACGAAAGUCUGACGGAGCAACGCCGCGUGAGUGAUGAAGGUUUUCGGAUCGUAAAACUCUGUUGUUAGGGAAGAACAAGUGCGAGAGUAACUGCUCGCACCUUGACGGUACCUAACCAGAAAGCCACGGCUAACUACGUGCCAGCAGCCGCGGUAAUACGUAGGUGGCAAGCGUUGUCCGGAAUUAUUGGGCGUAAAGCGCGCGCAGGCGGUUUCUUAAGUCUGAUGUGAAAGCCCCCGGCUCA